RNAcentral lists this ribosomal RNA (670 nucleotides) under uncultured Gemmatimonadota bacterium. Its description in RNAcentral is "SSU rRNA". It matches the Rfam family "Bacterial small subunit ribosomal RNA", at positions 246 to 915 of the family's 1533-position model. The record is from RNAcentral. Lineage: Bacteria; Pseudomonadati; Gemmatimonadota.
UAGUGGGCGAGGUAACGGCUCACCAAGGCAACGACGGGUAGCUGGUCUGAGAGGAUGGCCAGCCACAUUGGGACUGAGAUACGGCCCAGACUCCUACGGGAGGCAGCAGUGGGGAAUCUUGCGCAAUGGCCUAACGGCUGACGCAGCGACGCCGCGUGUGGGAUGAAGCUCCUCGGAGUGUAAACCACUGUUGCCCGGGACGAAUAGCUCGAUUAAUCGAGCCUGACGGUACCGGGUGAGGAAGCACCGGCUAACUCCGUGCCAGCAGCCGUGGUAAUACGGGGGGUGCGAGCGUUGUCCGGAAUCACUGGGCGUAAAGGGCGCGUAGGUGGUUUGAUAAGGGUGUGGUGAAAGUCCGGGGCUCAACCCCGGAUCUGCCGUGCCGACUGUCAAACUCGAGGGCUGUAGAGGCAGACGGAAUUCCGGGUGUAGCGGUGGAAUGCGUAGAGAUCCGGAGGAACACCGAAGGCGAAGGCAGUGUCCUGGCGAGUGACUGACGCUGAGGUGCGAAAGCUAGGGGAGCGAACGGGAUUAGAUACCCCGGUAGUCCUAGCCGUAAACGAUGACCACCAGGUGUGGGAGGUAUCGACCCCUUCCGUGCCGGAGUUAACACACUAAGUGGUCCGCCUGGGGAGUACGGUCGCAAGAUUAAAACUCAAAGGAAUUGACG